This 70-nucleotide transfer RNA is filed under the name Trichodes leucopsideus. RNAcentral describes it as "tRNA-Lys". Lineage: Eukaryota; Metazoa; Arthropoda; Insecta; Coleoptera; Cleridae. The record is from RNAcentral.
CAUUAGAUAACUUAAAGCAAGUACUGGUCUCUUAAACCAUAAAAUAGUAAAUUAGUGAUUACUUCUAAUG